This 1490-nucleotide ribosomal RNA is filed under the name Sporosarcina sp. Its description in RNAcentral is "bacterial SSU rRNA". It matches the Rfam family "Bacterial small subunit ribosomal RNA". The record is from RNAcentral. Lineage: Bacteria; Bacillati; Bacillota; Bacilli; Caryophanales; Caryophanaceae.
GGGCAUGGCAGCCGUCAAAUAACAUAGCAGUCAAGCGGAUUGAUUAAGAAACUUUGUUCUUCUGAUUUUAUCGCCGCAGAGGUGAGUAUCACGUGUGCGACCCACGUCGGAAAUAGUGGAUAACUCCACCGAAACCCGGGCUAAUACCCAAGAAUCCUUUUUGCUUCUCGGGAAGAUAUUCUAAAGGCGGCUUCCGCUGUGCCUACUACAUGGGCCCCCGGCGUACUAUCUAUUUUGUAUGGUAAUGGCCUACCCAGGCGACAAUACGUAUCCCACCUGAGAGGGGGAUCGCGCCACACUGGGACAGAGACACCGCCCCCACACCCACGGGAGGCGCCACUAUGGAAUCUUCCCCACUGGACAAAAGUCUGAUGGAGCACCGCCCCGUGAGUGAGAAAAGUUUUCUGAUCUUAAAACUCUGUUGUAAGGGAAAAAAACGUACGAGAGUAUCUGCUCUCACCUUGACAGUACCUUAUAAAAAAACCCCGGCUAACUACGUGCCACCACCCCCGGUAAUACAUAUGUGGCAAGCGUUUUCCGGAAUUAUUGGGCGUAUAGCGCGCGCACGCGGUUCUUUAAGUCUGAUGUGUAAACCCACGGCUCUACCCUGGACGGUCAUUGGAAACUGGAGAACUUUAUUUCCCAGAAAAGAGAGCGGAAUUCCCCCUGUAGCGGUGAAAUGCCUUGAAAAGUGUAUAUAUAUGUGGAGACACACCAGUGGAGAGGGGGGUCUCUCUGGGUGUGUAAGAGACGUGUGGGGCGAGAAAGCGUGGAGAGAAACACAGGAUAGAAUACCUUGGUUGUCCACGCUGUAAACGAUGAGUGUUAAGUGUUAGGGGUUUUCCGCCCUUUAGUGCGGCAGUUACCGCAUUAACCAUUCGCCUUGGGGAGUACGACGCCAAGGUUGAAAUUCAAAGAAAUUGAGGGGGCCCCCCACAACCGGUGGAGCAUGUGGUUUAUUUGGAAGCAACGGGAAGACCUUUACCAGUUCUGAACAUCCUAUUGACCGGCUAAAAAUUAGGGUUUCCCUUUGGGCAACAGUGACAACUGGUGCAGCAUGGUUGUCAUCAGCUCUUGUGAUAAGAUGUGGGAAUAACUCCAACAAGGAGCACCACCAUUGUUAUUAGUCACCACCAUUCAGUGGGCCAUUCUAAGGGGACGCCCGGGGCCAAACGGGAGAAAGGGGGGGAGAACUUAAAUUCUUCAUCCCCUUUAUACCUUGGGUACCCAACUAGUUCAAAGGGCGGAAACAAAGGGUGGCAAACCCGGGAGGGGGACCAAUUCCACACAAAAUCGUUCUCAGUUCGGAUUGCAGGCUGCAACUCGCCUACAUGAAGCCGGAAUCGCUAGUAAUCGUGGAUCAGCAUGCCACGGUGAAUACGUUCCCGGGCCUUGUACACACCGCCCGUCACACCACGAGAGUUUGAACACCCGAAGUCGGUGAGGAACCUUUAUCAUGAGUCUGCUUCUAUUUUUGGUUUCCUCGCGGC